Transfer RNA from Exophiala spinifera, 86 nucleotides. It matches the Rfam family "tRNA". Rfam says of the family: Transfer RNA (tRNA) molecules are approximately 80 nucleotides in length. Their secondary structure includes four short double-helical elements and three loops (D, anti-codon, and T loops). Further hydrogen bonds mediate the characteristic L-shaped molecular structure. tRNAs have two regions of fundamental functional importance: the anti-codon, which is responsible for specific mRNA codon recognition, and the 3' end, to which the tRNAs corresponding amino acid is attached (by aminoacyl-tRNA synthetases). tRNAs cope with the degeneracy of the genetic code in two manners: having more than one tRNA (with a specific anti-codon) for a particular amino acid; and 'wobble' base-pairing, i.e. permitting non-standard base-pairing at the 3rd anti-codon position. The record is from Rfam. Lineage: Eukaryota; Fungi; Ascomycota; Eurotiomycetes; Chaetothyriales; Herpotrichiellaceae.
GCCUCUAUAGCCCAGUUGGUAGAGCGCAGCACUAGUAUCCUUACUACGUGAUGCUGAGGUCUUCAGUUCGACUCUGAAUGGAGGCA